Molecule: ribosomal RNA, 646 nt
Filed under: uncultured bacterium
Lineage: Bacteria
Description: bacterial SSU rRNA
Rfam family: Bacterial small subunit ribosomal RNA
Source: RNAcentral
GAGAAUUGCUAGCUUGCUAAUAAUUCUCUAGUGGCGCACGGGUGAGUAACACGUGAGUACCUGCCCCCAAGAGUGGGAUAGCCCCGGGAAACUGGGAUUAAUACCGCAUAAAGCAAUAAAGCAGCAAUGCGCUUGGGGAUGGGCUCGCGUCCUAUUAGUUAGUUGGUGAGGUAACGGCUCACCAAGGCGAUGACGGGUAGCCGGUCUGAGAGGAUGUCCGGCCACACUGGAACUGAGACACGGUCCAGACACCUACGGGUGGCAGCAGUCGAGAAUCAUUCACAAUGGGGGAAACCCUGAUGGUGCGACGCCGCGUGGGGGAUAAGGUCUUCGGAUUGUAAACCCCUGUCAUGUGGGACAUUAAAAAGAUAGUACCACAAGAGGAAGAGACGGCUAACUCUGUGCCAGCAGCCGCGGUAAUACAGAGGUCUCAAGCGUUGUUCGGAAUCACUGGGCGUAAAGCGUGCGUAGGCGGUUUCGUAAGUCGUGUGUGAAAGGCGGGGGCUCAACCCCCGGACUGCACAUGAUACUGCGAGACUAGAGUAAUGGAGGGGGAACCGGAAUUCUCGGUGUAGCAGUGAAAUGCGUAGAUAUCGAGAGGAACACUCGUGGCGAAGGCGGGUUCCUGGACAUUAACUGACGCUGA